UUUUAGGCUCAGGAAGAAGCAUUUGAAUGAGAGGUGUCAGCACCCACACAGCUAGUUUGAUCCCCGUCCUUCCAGUGCUCUGUCCAAUCACCACUCAGCUAUGGAAUGAAGACAGGAUAGGAGGAAACCAGACACCUACUUGUUUACCCCCCCAGAUACAUAAAUGCCUAAACUCGUUGUCCAUGAAAAUACACUAACCCCAAACUGCAAUUGAUACCAGAAUAAUAACAACCUUAGUUUUCUGAUACUGAAUACCCAAUAUCAGCCUUGAGAAUACUUUGAUGCUUUUACGUGGAUGAUAUUCCAGGAGAGAAUGGACUAAGGAGAGAACGGACACAUUCACUGUACACUUCUCCCUAUUCUCUGCUCUUUACAAUGAACAUAUUACAGUACAGAAUGGUCAGAACUUUUUUUUUUGAGACUGAAGAGUGCAUGAUCAAUGGGAGGGUUGGACAUACUGGAGGUUAAAUAAAGACCUUGCUGGGAGUUCACCUAGGGGUCAUGAUUGGGGCUGUACCAAAUGAUUGAUGUAUUAGAAUAAUUGAUUAUGCUUAUGUUAAUAGAAGGGGAGGGGUUAUUAAGACCCUCCCUCUUUACAUGCAUAGGGUCCAAGACUACAGAUUAACUAUAUAUACACAUGAGGUUUUAAUAUUGUUCCACAGUUGUUUUCUAGUUCCCUCUCUCUGCCUCUUAUAAAGAGACCCCUCUGAGAAAUGUGUGACUGAGACAGAACUCUGCAGGGGAGUGUAGGAGAUAAGACUAGUCAGACAUUCCAUUAUAAAUCAACUUGGACAUUUACUGCUAAGAUUUUAGAUAACACUAAAAGCCUUGUUUUUUAUAGCUGUGUAGGCAUGGCGUUGGUCUCAUGAGUAAAAGAUAAUGACGUAGGCAGUGACAUCACUAGGGCUGGACUUCAGGUUUGAUAAAAUAACAUGGGACCUUUGAUGCAGAACUUACUCAGAAACAUGCGUGCUAUGUUCCUGAUUGUCAACUUCUGUCUGCAAUUGCAUUAAAGGUUUAUCAUCUUUGGGCUAGGUGGGAAGCUAGCACCCCAUCUCGACAACAUCCAGUGAAAUUGCAGAGUGCGAAAUACAAACAUUUUAAUAUUAAACAUUCAUGAAAAUA
Salmo salar (Atlantic salmon) is the source of this 1125-nucleotide non-coding RNA. NCBI's taxonomy places the organism in Eukaryota, Metazoa, Chordata, Actinopteri, Salmoniformes, Salmonidae. The record is from RefSeq and is a predicted model, not a curated record.